RNAcentral lists this transfer RNA (81 nucleotides) under Pseudomonadota bacterium. Its description in RNAcentral is "Proteobacteria bacterium (activated sludge metagenome) tRNA-Leu". It matches the Rfam family "tRNA". Rfam says of the family: Transfer RNA (tRNA) molecules are approximately 80 nucleotides in length. Their secondary structure includes four short double-helical elements and three loops (D, anti-codon, and T loops). Further hydrogen bonds mediate the characteristic L-shaped molecular structure. tRNAs have two regions of fundamental functional importance: the anti-codon, which is responsible for specific mRNA codon recognition, and the 3' end, to which the tRNAs corresponding amino acid is attached (by aminoacyl-tRNA synthetases). tRNAs cope with the degeneracy of the genetic code in two manners: having more than one tRNA (with a specific anti-codon) for a particular amino acid; and 'wobble' base-pairing, i.e. permitting non-standard base-pairing at the 3rd anti-codon position. The record is from RNAcentral. Lineage: Bacteria; Pseudomonadati; Pseudomonadota.
GGUGUGGUAGCAAAGCGGUCAAAUGCGGGGGACUUAAGAUCUUCUCCUUCGGGUUCGCAGGUUCAAACCCUGCCCACACUU